This 497-nucleotide ribosomal RNA is filed under the name uncultured bacterium. Its description in RNAcentral is "partial 16S ribosomal RNA". It matches the Rfam family "Bacterial small subunit ribosomal RNA", at positions 28 to 507 of the family's 1533-position model. The record is from RNAcentral.
GAUGAACGCUGGCGGCGUGCCUAAUACAUGCAAGUCGAGCGAACAGACGAGGAGCUUGCUCCUUCGACGUUAGCGGCGGACGGGUGAGUAACACGUAGGUAACCUACCUAUAAGACUGGGAGGAUUUCGGGAAACCGGAGCUAAUACCGGAUAAUAUUUCGAACCGGAUGGUUCGAUAGUGAAAGAUGGCUUUGGUAUCACUUAUAGAUGGACCUGCGCCGUAUUAGCUAGUUGGUAAGGUAACGGCUUACCAAGGCAACGAUACGUAGCCGACCUGAGAGGGUGAUCGGCCACACUGGAACUGAGACACGGUCCAGACUCCUACGGGAGGCAGCAGUAGGGAAUCUUCCGCAAUGGGCGAAAGCCUGACCGAGCAACGCCGCGUGAGUGAUGAAGGUCUUCGGAUCGUAAAACUCUGUUAUUAGGAAAGAACAAAAGUGUAAGUAACUGUGCACGUCUUGACGGUACCUAAUCAGAAAGCCCCGGCUAACUACGUG